UUAAGCGACUAAGCGUACACGGUGGAUGCCCUGGCAGUCAGAGGCGAUGAAGGGCGUGCUAAUCUGCGAUAAGCGCCGGUAAGGUGAUAUGAACCGUUAUAACCGGCGAUACCCGAAUGGGGAAACCCAGUGUGACUCGUCACACUAUCAUUAACUGAAUCCAUAGGUUAAUGAGGCGAACCGGGGGAACUGAAACAUCUAAGUACCCCGAGGAAAAGAAAUCAACCGAGAUUCCCCCAGUAGCGGCGAGCGAACGGGGAGGAGCCCAGAGCCUGAAUCAGCAUGUGUGUUAGUGGAAGCGUCUGGAAAGGCGCGCGAUACAGGGUGACAGCCCCGUACACAAAAGCGCAUGUGCUGUGAGCUCGAUGAGUAGGGCGGGACACGUGGUAUCCUGUCUGAAUAUGGGGGGACCAUCCUCCAAGGCUAAAUACUCCUGACUGACCGAUAGUGAACCAGUACCGUGAGGGAAAGGCGAAAAGAACCCCGGCGAGGGGAGUGAAAAAGAACCUGAAACCGUGUACGUACAAGCAGUGGGAGCCCCACCACUAAGCCAGUGGUGAACUCCACAUACGCAUCCUUUGCUGAGGAUACGGUUAACGGAGCGAAAGCGACGUUCAACCGCAAAAGAAGCAGAGGGGGCUUAGUGGUGGGGUGACUGCGUACCUUUUGUAUAAUGGGUCAGCGACUUAUAUUCUGUAGCAAGGUUAACCGAAUAGGGGAGCCGGAGGGAAACCGAGUCUUAAUUGGGCGUUAAGUUGCAGGGUAUAGACCCGAAACCCGGUGAUCUAGCCAUGGGCAGGUUGAAGGUUGGGUAACACUAACUGGAGGACCGAACCGACUAAUGUUGAAAAAUUAGCGGAUGACCUGUGGCUGGGGGUGAAAGGCCAAUCAAACCGGGAGAUAGCUGGUUCUCCCCGAAAGCUAUUUAGGUAGCGCCUCGUGAAUUCAUCUCCGGGGGUAGAGCACUGUUUCGGCUAGGGGGCCAUCCCGGCUUACCAACCCGAUGCAAACUGCGAAUACCGGAGAAUGUUAUCACGGGAGACACACGGCGGGUGCUAACGUCCGUCGUGAAGAGGGAAACAACCCAGACCGCCAGCUAAGGUCCCAAAGUCAUGGUUAAGUGGGAAACGAUGUGGGAAGGCCCAGACAGCCAGGAUGUUGGCUUAGAAGCAGCCAUCAUUUAAAGAAAGCGUAAUAGCUCACUGGUCGAGUCGGCCUGCGCGGAAGAUGUAACGGGGCUAAACCAUGCACCGAAGCUGCGGCAGCGACACUGUGUGUUGUUGGGUAGGGGAGCGUUCUGUAAGCCUGUGAAGGUGUGUCGUGAGGCAUGCUGGAGGUAUCAGAAGUGCGAAUGCUGACAUAAGUAACGAUAAAGCGGGUGAAAAGCCCGCUCGCCGGAAGACCAAGGGUUCCUGUCCAACGUUAAUCGGGGCAGGGUGAGUCGACCCCUAAGGCGAGGCCGAAAGGCGUAGUCGAUGGGAAACGGGUUAAUAUUCCCGUACUUGGUGUUACUGCGAAGGGGGGACGGAGAAGGCUAUGUUGGCCGGGCGACGGUUGUCCCGGUUUAAGCGUGUAGGUGUGUGUUCCAGGUAAAUCCGGUUCACUUUAACACUGAGGCGUGACGACGAGGCACUACGGUGCUGAAGCAACAAAUGCCCUGCUUCCAGGAAAAGCCUCUAAGCAUCAGGUAACAUCAAAUCGUACCCCAAACCGACACAGGUGGUCAGGUAGAGAAUACCAAGGCGCUUGAGAGAACUCGGGUGAAGGAACUAGGCAAAAUGGUGCCGUAACUUCGGGAGAAGGCACGCUGACACGUAGGUGAAGUGAUUUACUCAUGGAGCUGAAGUCAGUCGAAGAUACCAGCUGGCUGCAACUGUUUAUUAAAAACACAGCACUGUGCAAACACGAAAGUGGACGUAUACGGUGUGACGCCUGCCCGGUGCCGGAAGGUUAAUUGAUGGGGUCAGCGCAAGCGAAGCUCCUGAUCGAAGCCCCGGUAAACGGCGGCCGUAACUAUAACGGUCCUAAGGUAGCGAAAUUCCUUGUCGGGUAAGUUCCGACCUGCACGAAUGGCGUAAUGAUGGCCAGGCUGUCUCCACCCGAGACUCAGUGAAAUUGAACUCGCUGUGAAGAUGCAGUGUACCCGCGGCAAGACGGAAAGACCCCGUGAACCUUUACUAUAGCUUGACACUGAACAUUGAGCCUUGAUGUGUAGGAUAGGUGGGAGGCUUUGAAGUGUGGACGCCAGUCUGCAUGGAGCCGACCUUGAAAUACCACCCUUUAAUGUUUGAUGUUCUAACGUGGACCCGUUACCCGGGUUGCGGACAGUGUCUGGUGGGUAGUUUGACUGGGGCGGUCUCCUCCUAAAGAGUAACGGAGGAGCACGAAGGUUGGCUAAUCCUGGUCGGACAUCAGGAGGUUAGUGCAAUGGCAUAAGCCAGCUUGACUGCGAGCGUGACGGCGCGAGCAGGUGCGAAAGCAGGUCAUAGUGAUCCGGUGGUUCUGAAUGGAAGGGCCAUCGCUCAACGGAUAAAAGGUACUCCGGGGAUAACAGGCUGAUACCGCCCAAGAGUUCAUAUCGACGGCGGUGUUUGGCACCUCGAUGUCGGCUCAUCACAUCCUGGGGCUGAAGUAGGUCCCAAGGGUAUGGCUGUUCGCCAUUUAAAGUGGUACGCGAGCUGGGUUUAGAACGUCGUGAGACAGUUCGGUCCCUAUCUGCCGUGGGCGCUGGAGAACUGAGGGGGGCUGCUCCUAGUACGAGAGGACCGGAGUGGACGCAUCACUGGUGUUCGGGUUGUCAUGCCAAUGGCACUGCCCGGUAGCUAAAUGCGGAAGAGAUAAGUGCUGAAAGCAUCUAAGCACGAAACUUGCCCCGAGAUGAGUUCUCCCUGAGACUUAGAGUCUCCUGAAGGAACGUUGAAGACGACGACGUUGAUAGGCCGGGUGUGUAAGCGCAGCGAUGCGUUGAGCUAACCGGUACUAAUGAACCGUGAGGCUUAACCUU
RNAcentral lists this ribosomal RNA (3004 nucleotides) under Salmonella enterica subsp. enterica serovar Heidelberg str. SL476. RNAcentral's name for it is "bacterial LSU rRNA". It matches the Rfam family "Bacterial large subunit ribosomal RNA". Lineage: Bacteria; Pseudomonadati; Pseudomonadota; Gammaproteobacteria; Enterobacterales; Enterobacteriaceae. The record is from RNAcentral.